This 521-nucleotide ribosomal RNA is filed under the name uncultured Actinomycetes bacterium. RNAcentral's name for it is "bacterial SSU rRNA". It matches the Rfam family "Bacterial small subunit ribosomal RNA", at positions 384 to 896 of the family's 1533-position model. The record is from RNAcentral. Lineage: Bacteria; Bacillati; Actinomycetota; Actinomycetes.
UGACGCAGCGACGCCGCGUGAGGGAGGAAGGCCUUCGGGUUGUAAACCUCUUUCAGGAGGGACGAAGCUACUCGGGUGAAUAGGCCCAGAGGGUGACGGUACCUCCAGAAGAAGCCCCGGCUAACUACGUGCCAGCAGCCGCGGUAAUACGUAGGGGGCAAGCGUUGUCCGGAUUUACUGGGCGUAAAGCGCGUGUAGGCGGCCACGCAGGUCCGUUGUGAAAACUGGAGGCUCAACCUCCAGACGUCGACGGAAACCGUGUGGCUAGAGUCCGGAAGAGGAGAGUGGAAUUCCUGGUGUAGCGGUGAAAUGCGCAGAUAUCAGGAAGAACACCAAUGGCGAAGGCAGCUCUCUGGGACGGUACUGACGCUGAGACGCGAAAGCGUGGGGAGCGAACAGGAUUAGAUACCCUGGUAGUCCACGCCGUAAACGAUGGGUGCUAGGUGUGGGAGGUGUCGACUCCUUCCGUGCCGUAGCUAACGCAUUAAGCACCCCGCCUGGGGAGUACGGCCGCAAGGCUA